GGGGUUGUGGCUCAGUGGUAGAGCACUUGCCUAGCACGUGUGAGGCACUGGGUUUGAUUCUCAGCACCA
This 69-nucleotide transfer RNA is filed under the name Marmota marmota marmota (Alpine marmot). It matches the Rfam family "tRNA". From Rfam's summary of the family: Transfer RNA (tRNA) molecules are approximately 80 nucleotides in length. RNAcentral also lists the same sequence under 5 other names. The record is from Rfam by way of RNAcentral. Lineage: Eukaryota; Metazoa; Chordata; Mammalia; Rodentia; Sciuridae.